This 392-nucleotide ribosomal RNA is filed under the name uncultured bacterium. Its description in RNAcentral is "bacterial SSU rRNA". It matches the Rfam family "Bacterial small subunit ribosomal RNA", at positions 29 to 448 of the family's 1533-position model. The record is from RNAcentral.
AACGAACGCUGGCGGCAGGCCUAACACAUGCAAGUCGAGCGGGGGAGCAAUCCCUAGCGGCGGACGGGUUAGUAACGCGUGGGAACAUACCCUUUGGUACGGAAUAGCCUCGGGAAACUGAGAGUAAUACCGUAUGUGCCCUUCGGGGGAAAGAUUUAUCGCCAAAGGAUUGGCCCGCGUUGGAUUAGGUAGUUGGUGGGGUAAUGGCCUACCAAGCCUACGAUCCAUAGCUGGUCUGAGAGGAUGAUCAGCCACACUGGGACUGAGACACGGCCCAGACUCCUACGGGAGGCAGCAGUGGGGAAUAUUGGACAAAUGGGCAAAGCCUGAUCCAGCAAUGCCGNGUGAGUGAUGAAGGCCUUAGGGUUGUAAAGCUCUUUUACCCGAGAUGA